This 497-nucleotide ribosomal RNA is filed under the name uncultured bacterium. Its description in RNAcentral is "partial 16S ribosomal RNA". It matches the Rfam family "Bacterial small subunit ribosomal RNA", at positions 28 to 507 of the family's 1533-position model. The record is from RNAcentral.
GAUGAACGCUGGCGGCGUGCCUAAUACAUGCAAGUCGAGCGAACGGACGAGGAGCUUGCUCCUCUGAUGUUAGCGGCGGACGGGUGAGUAACACGUGGAUAACCUACCUAUAAGACUGGGAUAACUUCGGGAAACCGGAGCUAAUACCGGAUAAUAUAUUGAACCGCAUGGUUCAAUAGUGAAAGACGGUCUUGCUGUCACUUAUAGAUGGAUCCGCGCGGCAUUAGCUAGUUGGUAAGGUAACGGCUUACCAAGGCAACGAUGCAUAGCCGACCUGAGAGGGUGAUCGGCCACACUGGAACUGAGACACGGUCCAGACUCCUACGGGAGGCAGCAGUAGGGAAUCUUCCGCAAAGGGCGAAAGCCUGACGGAGCAACGCCGCGUGAGUGAUGAAGGUCUUCGGAUCGUAAAACUCUGUUAUUAGGGAAGAACAUAUGUGUAAGUAACUGUGCACGUCUUGACGGUACCUAAUCAGAAAGCCACGGCUAACUACGUG